GAGCUUGCCGGCCUCGUCCAGGACGACG
Molecule: small RNA, 28 nt
Filed under: Bombyx mori (domestic silkworm)
Lineage: Eukaryota; Metazoa; Arthropoda; Insecta; Lepidoptera; Bombycidae
Description: piRNA piR-bmo-1466985
Source: RNAcentral